RNAcentral lists this ribosomal RNA (460 nucleotides) under uncultured bacterium. RNAcentral describes it as "partial 16S ribosomal RNA". It matches the Rfam family "Bacterial small subunit ribosomal RNA", at positions 338 to 795 of the family's 1533-position model. The record is from RNAcentral.
CCUACGGGAGGCAUCAGUGAGGAAUAUUGGUCAAUGGACGAGAGUCUGAACCAGCCAAGUAGCGUGAAGGAUGACUGCCCUAUGGGUUGUAAACUUCUUUUAUAUGGGAAUAAAAUGUUCCACGUGUGGGAUUUUGUAUGUACCAUAUGAAUAAGGAUCGGCUAACUCCGUGCCAGCAGCCGCGGUAAUACGGAGGAUCCGAGCGUUAUCCGGAUUUAUUGGGUUUAAAGGGAGCGUAGGUGGAUUGUUAAGUCAGUUGUGAAAGUUUGCGGCUCAACCGUAAAAUUGCAGUUGAAACUGGCAGUCUUGAGUACAGUAGAGGUGGGCGGAAUUCGUGGUGUAGCGGUGAAAUGCUUAGAUAUCACGAAGAACUCCGAUUGCGAAGGCAGUUCACUGGACUGCAACUGACACUGAGGCUCGAAAGUGUGGGUAUCAAACAGGAUUAGAUACCCGUGUAGUC